UACAGAGGGGGCAAGCGUUGUUCGGAAUUACUGGGCGUAAAGGGCGCGUAGGCGGCCUGUUAAGUCGAACGUGAAAUCCCCGGGCUCAACCCGGGAACUGCGUCCGAUACUGGCAGGCUUGAAUCCGGGAGAGGGAUGCGGAAUUCCAGGUGUAGCGGUGAAAUGCGCAGAUAUCAGGAGGAACACCAACGGCGAAAGCACUCUGCUGGGCCGACACUGACACUGAGAGACGAAAGCUAGGGGAGCAAAUGGG
This 253-nucleotide ribosomal RNA is filed under the name uncultured bacterium. RNAcentral describes it as "partial 16S ribosomal RNA". It matches the Rfam family "Bacterial small subunit ribosomal RNA", at positions 524 to 776 of the family's 1533-position model. The record is from RNAcentral.